UACGAAGGGGGCUAGCGUUGUUCGGAUUUACUGGGCGUAAAGCGAACGUAGGCGGAUCGUUAAGUCGGGGGUGAAAUCCUGGAGCUCAACUCCAGAACUGCCUUCGAUACUGGCGAUCUUGAGUCCGGAAGAGGUGAGUGGAACUCCUAGUGUAGAGGUGGAAUUCGUAGAUAUUAGGAAGAACACCAGUGGCGAAGGCGGCUCACUGGUCCGGUACUGACGCUGAGGUGCGAAAGCGUGGGGAGCAAACAGG
This 253-nucleotide ribosomal RNA is filed under the name uncultured bacterium. RNAcentral describes it as "partial 16S ribosomal RNA". It matches the Rfam family "Bacterial small subunit ribosomal RNA", at positions 524 to 776 of the family's 1533-position model. The record is from RNAcentral.